Molecule: ribosomal RNA, 253 nt
Filed under: uncultured bacterium
Lineage: Bacteria
Description: partial 16S ribosomal RNA
Rfam family: Bacterial small subunit ribosomal RNA
Source: RNAcentral
GACGGGGGGUCCAAGCGUUGUUCGGAAUCAUUGGGCGUAAAGCGGGUGCAGGCGGCUUUGUAAGUCAGGAGUGAAAGCCCUGGGCUCAACCCAGGAAGUGCUUUUGAUACUGCUUAGCUUGAGUGUGGGAGAGGAUAGUGGAAUUCCUGGUGUAGUGGUGAAAUACGUAGAGAUCAGGAGGAACACCGGCGGCGAAGGCGGCUAUCUGGCCCAACACUGACGCUCAGACCCGAAAGCGUGGGGAUCAAACAGG